This 221-nucleotide long non-coding RNA is filed under the name Setaria viridis. RNAcentral's name for it is "long non-coding RNA (SVIR_LNC010070)". The record is from RNAcentral. Lineage: Eukaryota; Viridiplantae; Streptophyta; Magnoliopsida; Poales; Poaceae.
UAGAUAAUGUAGGAACUUAUUUGUAUUUUUUAAAGAAAAGCACUAUCAACGCAAAAUGAGACAUAUCCAAACUAAGAAAAUUCAAAGCCAAACGAAACUCAUGCCAUCUCAUUUUGACAUGUCAUGUAGAUCACACGGAAAACUUUCAUGAACGACAGAAAAGGUUAGAUAGAAAGGUGAAGAAAUCAUAAAAGAAACCCUCAAGAAAAGCCAAUUCCCCA